UAGGGAAUAUUGGUCAAUGGGCGGGAGCCUGAACCAGCCAUGCCGCGCGCAGGAAGACUGCCCUAUGGGUUGUAAACUGCUUUUGUACGGGAACAAACCUAUCUACGAGUAGAUAGCUGAGUGUACCGUAAGAAUAAGGAUCGGCUAACUCCGUGCCAGCAGCCGCGGUAAUACGGAGGAUCCGAGCGUUAUCCGGAAUUAUUGGGUUUAAAGGGUGCGUAGGCGGCCUGAUAAGUCAGGGGUGAAAGACGGUGGCUCAACCAUCGCAGUGCCUUUGAUACUGUCGGGCUUGAAUGUAGUUGAGGUGGGCGGAAUGAGACAAGUAGCGGUGAAAUGCAUAGAUAUGUCUCAGAACACCAAUUGCGAAGGCAGCUCACUAAAUUAUGAUUGACGCUGAGGCACGAAAGCGUGGGGAUCAAACAGGAUUAGAUACC
Molecule: ribosomal RNA, 434 nt
Filed under: uncultured bacterium
Lineage: Bacteria
Description: bacterial SSU rRNA
Rfam family: Bacterial small subunit ribosomal RNA
Source: RNAcentral